RNAcentral lists this small RNA (28 nucleotides) under Bombyx mori (domestic silkworm). RNAcentral's name for it is "ovarian small RNA-25791". The record is from RNAcentral. Lineage: Eukaryota; Metazoa; Arthropoda; Insecta; Lepidoptera; Bombycidae.
UCAGUCUGAUGGCGGGCCACCAUGCGUU